GGAAUAUUGGACAAUGGGCGCAAGCCUGAUCCAGCCAUGCCCCGUGUGAACGAAGAAGGCCUUCGGGUUGUAAAGUUCUUUCGCCAAAGAACAAGAGAUGUAGGUGAAUACCCUACAAAUUUGAUGGUACUUGGUAAAGAAGCACCGGCUAACUCCGUGCCAGCAGCCGCGGUAAUACGGAGGGUGCAAGCGUUAUCCGGAUUUACUGGGUUUAAAGGGUGCGUAGGCGGAUAGGUAAGUCAGUGGUGAAAUCUCCGAGCUUAACUCGGAAACUGCCGUUGAUACUAUUUAUCUUGAAUACCGUGGAGGUGAGCGGAAUAUGUCAUGUAGCGGUGAAAUGCUUAGAUAUGACAUAGAACACCGAUUGCGAAGGCAGCUCACUACGCGGUCAUUGACGCUGAGGCACGAAAGCGUGGGGAUCAAA
Molecule: ribosomal RNA, 424 nt
Filed under: uncultured bacterium
Lineage: Bacteria
Description: bacterial SSU rRNA
Rfam family: Bacterial small subunit ribosomal RNA
Source: RNAcentral